RNAcentral lists this ribosomal RNA (771 nucleotides) under Microbacterium sp. THGR30. Its description in RNAcentral is "bacterial SSU rRNA". It matches the Rfam family "Bacterial small subunit ribosomal RNA", at positions 65 to 846 of the family's 1533-position model. The record is from RNAcentral. Lineage: Bacteria; Bacillati; Actinomycetota; Actinomycetes; Micrococcales; Microbacteriaceae.
AACGGUGAAGCAGAGCUUGCUCUGUGGAUCAGUGGCGAACGGGUGAGUAACACGUGAGCAACCUGCCCUGGACUCUGGGAUAAGCGCUGGAAACGGCGUCUAAUACUGGAUAUGAGACGUGGCCGCAUGGUCAACGUUUGGAAAGAUUUUUCGGUCUGGGAUGGGCUCGCGGCCUAUCAGCUUGUUGGUGAGGUAAUGGCUCACCAAGGCGUCGACGGGUAGCCGGCCUGAGAGGGUGACCGGCCACACUGGGACUGAGACACGGCCCAGACUCCUACGGGAGGCAGCAGUGGGGAAUAUUGCACAAUGGGCGAAAGCCUGAUGCAGCAACGCCGCGUGAGGGAUGACGGCCUUCGGGUUGUAAACCUCUUUUAGCAGGGAAGAAGCGAGAGUGACGGUACCUGCAGAAAAAGCACCGGCUAACUACGUGCCAGCAGCCGCGGUAAUACGUAGGGUGCAAGCGUUAUCCGGAAUUAUUGGGCGUAAAGAGCUCGUAGGCGGUUUGUCGCGUCUGCUGUGAAAUCUGGGGGCUCAACCCCCAGCCUGCAGUGGGUACGGGCAGACUAGAGUGCGGUAGGGGAGAUUGGAAUUCCUGGUGUAGCGGUGGAAUGCGCAGAUAUCAGGAGGAACACCGAUGGCGAAGGCAGAUCUCUGGGCCGUAACUGACGCUGAGGAGCGAAAGGGUGGGGAGCAAACAGGCUUAGAUACCCUGGUAGUCCACCCCGUAAACGUUGGGAACUAGUUGUGGGGUCCAUUCCACGGAUUCCGUGA